UGCAGUCGACGGUAACAGGUCUUCGGAUGCUGACGAGUGGCGAACGGGUGAGUAAUACAUCGGAACGUGCCCAGUAAUGGGGGAUAGCUCGGCGAAAGCCGGAUUAAUACCGCAUACGCCCUGAGGGGGAAAGUGGGGGACCGCAAGGCCUCACGUUAUUGGAGCGGCCGAUGGCUGAUUAGCUAGUUGGUAGGGUAAAGGCCUACCAAGGCGACGAUCAGUAGCUGGUCUGAGAGGACGAUCAGCCACACUGGGACUGAGACACGGCCCAGACUCCUACGGGAGGCAGCAGUGGGGAAUUUUGGACAAUGGGGGAAACCCUGAUCCAGCAAUGCCGCGUGUGCGAAGAAGGCCUUCGGGUUGUAAAGCACUUUUGUCAGGGAAGAAAUCCUUUGGGCUAAUACCCUAGGGGGAUGACGGUACCUGAAGAAUAAGCACCGGCUAACUACGUGCCAGCAGCCGCGGUAAUACGUAGGGUGCAAGCGUUAAUCGGAAUUACUGGGCGUAAAGCGUGCGCAGGCGGUUGUGUAAGACAGGUGUGAAAUCCCCGGGCUUAACCUGGGAAUUGCAUUUGUGACUGCACGACUAGAGUGUGUCAGAGGGGGGUGGAAUUCCACGUGUAGCAGUGAAAUGCGUAGAUAUGUGGAGGAACACCAAUGGCGAAGGCAG
Molecule: ribosomal RNA, 669 nt
Filed under: Limnobacter sp. EC-HK119
Lineage: Bacteria; Pseudomonadati; Pseudomonadota; Betaproteobacteria; Burkholderiales; Burkholderiaceae
Description: bacterial SSU rRNA
Rfam family: Bacterial small subunit ribosomal RNA
Source: RNAcentral